RNAcentral lists this ribosomal RNA (406 nucleotides) under uncultured bacterium. Its description in RNAcentral is "partial 16S ribosomal RNA". It matches the Rfam family "Bacterial small subunit ribosomal RNA", at positions 30 to 526 of the family's 1533-position model. The record is from RNAcentral.
AUUGAACGCUGGCGGCAGGCCUAACACAUGCAAGUCGAACGAGUGGCGGACGGGUGAGUAAUGUCUGGGAAACUGCCCGAUGGAGGGGGAUAACUACUGGAAACGGUAGCUAAUACCGCAUACCAUCGGAUGUGCCCAGAUGGGAUUAGCUAGUAGGUUGGGUAACGGCUCACCUAGGCGACGAUCCCUAGCUGGUCUGAGAGGAUGACCAGCCACCCGGGAACUGAGACACGGUCCAGGCUCCUACGGUAGGCAGCAGUGGGGAAUAUUGCACAAUGGGGGCAAGCCUGAUGCAGCCAUGCCGCGUGUGUGAAGAAGGCCUUCGGGUUGUAAAGUACUGUCAGCGAGGAGGCGUUACUCGCAGAAGAAGCACCGGCUAACUCCGUGCCAGCAGCCGCGGUAAUUC